Lutra lutra (Eurasian river otter) is the source of this 1577-nucleotide long non-coding RNA. RefSeq lists it as uncharacterized. The record is from RefSeq and is a predicted model, not a curated record. Lineage: Eukaryota; Metazoa; Chordata; Mammalia; Carnivora; Mustelidae. The transcript has 3 exons.
GGACCAAUGAAUGAAUGAGUGAUCCUAGUCGUGGCUGGGCACGCUUUGUCCAGUGGAAGGGGCCGGAGUCUGUAGUCAGGGGAGAGCAAGGACAAAGGUCCUGGUCCUGCCAGUGUGGGAGCCGCACCUUCAUUUCGUCCCAGCAGGAGCCCAGAACCCAGUGACCUGGGAGCCUCAGGGAGCCCAGCCUCCCCUCUCCGAGUUGCCCCCCCCACCCCCCAUUUCACCGGAGAUGUGGCCUCAGCCUGGAUCUGUCCAUCCCUAGGUCCUGACCCCAUGUCUAGGAAAAAACCACCACUUCAGAUGGAGGAUGGGAAUGAGGCCCCCUCUGCUCCUCCCACCAGGCAGCCCCCCUGGCUUGCCUCCAAGCCUCCCAACCUCCUUAGUUACAUGUGUUCUGAGCUGGAGACCACAGGGGCCAGAGCUUGGCAGAUGCCCCCCUGGGAUCCUCUGAGCCCCAGGGCUCCUUCCCAGGCAGGCCUCCGCCUUCACCUCACCGUCCCCCCCAGCCUGCUCUGAGGAAAGAGCAGUGAUGCAAAAUUCAGUUGGGGAGAAAAACAGGAAGUGGAGCCCGAGAGCAAAGCCUGCAGUGGCUCUCCCCAGCCUCUCCCCAGCGAAUGCGGCAGCCCCCUUCCACCCGCAGCCUUACAGGAAAGUGGCGAGGGGACAGCCCCAGCCCGAGUUGUCGGGGCAAGGUCUGGGGAUGGUGCAGGUGGAGAUACCACUCGAGACCCUUGGGCUGUACUUGCAGGGGCUGUUUUCAGGCCCAGCAUUGCAUCUGUGAUCUGCAUUUUACAUCUUCUCUCACCUGCUCACAGCAGCUCCUCAAGGUGUCGCCAAACCUCGUGGUCUGAGCCACCAUCAAGAGGCGGGGCACUGAGUUUCACUCACCCAUUCAACACGUGUCAAAGGCCACCAGACACGGUCCUGUGACCCGAGGAUACUGUGACAAAUGUCCCUGCCUCCAGAACAUUCAGGAGGAAACGGCGUCUUGGCAGAGUAAUUAAUUUUUCCAAGGUGAGUGGACCAGUAGCUCCCUGGUAGAGGUAGAAUUCCACCAGCUCCGUCCUUUCCGAGCCUGCCUUCUUCCCACGGAGCGGCUGGAUUGUCCCCGAACUCCUCCUCUCACGUUCUGGAUGUGCACAUGGAAAUUACCGAAGCUGGAGUGCUUGUAUACACGGAGACUGCCCGGAAGUUGACCGGAGAUCCUUGUGGCUUUCACGUGCCGCGGUCCUGAUUCCCGAGGAUAGCCACCGUAGCAGUCCGGUGGGAGUCCCUUCCUGCCAGCACCGGCUAGGUAAUCGUGGGGCCUGGUGCAAAACGAAAAGGUGGGCCCCAGGUUCAAAAAUAAUGAAGAUUUUCAAGAUGGCACAGCAGACCAGUGGUGGAGUGUGGGGCCCUUCUGAGUGUGGGGGGCUGUGUUGUGGCACGGGCCUCACGCCGCUAAGGCUAGCUCUGCUCCCCGGUUUGCUUCUUCAGUGCACUCCCCAAAUAUGUUCAGGUCUUUAACUGUGUACAAAAAGCCAGCCUUGGGGCGCCUGAAGCCUCUGCCUUCAGCUUGGGUCAUGGUCUCAGGG